This 185-nucleotide ribosomal RNA is filed under the name Acinetobacter baumannii. RNAcentral's name for it is "partial 16S ribosomal RNA". It matches the Rfam family "Bacterial small subunit ribosomal RNA", at positions 1349 to 1533 of the family's 1533-position model. Lineage: Bacteria; Pseudomonadati; Pseudomonadota; Gammaproteobacteria; Moraxellales; Moraxellaceae. The record is from RNAcentral.
UCAGAAUGCCGCGGUGAAUACGUUCCCGGGCCUUGUACACACCGCCCGUCACACCAUGGGAGUUUGUUGCACCAGAAGUAGCUAGCCUAACUGCAAAGAGGGCGGUUACCACGGUGUGGCCGAUGACUGGGGUGAAGUCGUAACAAGGUAGCCGUAGGGGAACCUGCGGCUGGAUCACCUCCUUA